GAAUCCCGUCUUUGACACGGACUGCCUGUACAUUAUGGUGUGCUCUCGAAGAGUCGAGUUGUUUGGGAAUGCAGCUCAAAAUGGGUGGUAAAUGCCAUCUAAAGCUAAAUAUUGGCGAGAGACCGAUAGCGAACAAGUACCGUGAGGGAAAGAUGAAAAGAACUUUGGAAAGAGAGUUAAACAGUACGUGAAAUUGCUGAAAGGGAAACGCUUGAAGUCAGUCGCGUUGGCUAGAAAUCAACCUUGCUUUUGCUUUGUGUACUUUCUGGUUGACGGGUCAGCAUCAAUUUUGACCACUGGAUAAAGUCUUUGGGAAUGUGGCAUCUUUGGAUGUGUUAUAGCCCAUUGUCGCAUACGGUGGUUGGGAUUGAGGAACUCAGCACGCCGCAAAGCCGGGUUUCGACCACGUUCGUGCUUAGGAUGCUGGCAUAAUGGCUUUAAUCGACCCGUCUUGAAACACGGACCAAGGAGUCUAACAUGCCUGCGAGUGUUUGGGUGGAAAAACCCAUGCGCGCAAUGAAAGUGAAAGUUGAGAUCCUCUUCAAAGGGGGAGCAUUGACGCCCGGACCAGACCUUUUGUGACGGAUCCGCGGUAGAGCAUGCAUGUUGGGACCCGAAAGAUGGUGAACUAUGCCUGAAUAGGGUGAAGCCAGAGGAAACUCUGGUGGAGGCUCGUAGCGAUUCUGACGUGCAAAUCGAUCGUCAAAUUUGGGUAUAGGGGCGAAAGACUAAUCGAACCAUCUAGUAGCUGGUUCCUGCC
RNAcentral lists this ribosomal RNA (760 nucleotides) under uncultured Inocybe. RNAcentral's name for it is "partial 28S ribosomal RNA". It matches the Rfam family "Eukaryotic large subunit ribosomal RNA", at positions 216 to 962 of the family's 3401-position model. The record is from RNAcentral. Lineage: Eukaryota; Fungi; Basidiomycota; Agaricomycetes; Agaricales; Cortinariaceae.